This 219-nucleotide long non-coding RNA is filed under the name Elaeis guineensis (African oil palm). RNAcentral describes it as "long non-coding RNA (EGUI_LNC055509)". The record is from RNAcentral. Lineage: Eukaryota; Viridiplantae; Streptophyta; Magnoliopsida; Arecales; Arecaceae.
CAGGGUCUCCCAACCUUCUGAAAGGUACAUGGGUAUACUUACAGAGGAAAUAAAGAAAAUAUUCCUUAUGGGAGAUAGGGGUCAUGAUGAUGAUCCUAAUAUCAUUGACGAGGCGAUGUUUGACAUCGAUUUCGAGAAAUGAUUAGAUGCGAUGAAGUCAGAAAUUGACUCAAAGUGAAUUCAAGGGUAGCAAGUUUAUACUUUUUUAUCUCAAAAUAG